ACGCCGCGUGAGUGAUGAAGGUCUUCGGAUCGUAAAACUCUGUUAUUAGGGAAGAACAAAUGUGUAAGUAACUAUGCACGUCUUGACGGUACCUAAUCAGAAAGCCACGGCUAACUACGUGCCAGCAGCCGCGGUAAUACGUAGGUGGCAAGCGUUAUCCGGAAUUAUUGGGCGUAAAGCGCGCGUAGGCGGUUUUUUAAGUCUGAUGUGAAAGCCCACGGCUCAACCGUGGAGGGUCAUUGGAAACUGGAAAACUUGAGUGCAGAAGAGGAAAGUGGAAUUCCAUGUGUAGCGGUGAAAUGCGCAGAGAUAUGGAGGAACACCAGUGGCGAAGGCGACUUUCUGGUCUGUAACUGACGCUGAUGUGCGAAAGCGUGGGGAUCAAACAGGAU
This 392-nucleotide ribosomal RNA is filed under the name Staphylococcus epidermidis. RNAcentral describes it as "bacterial SSU rRNA". It matches the Rfam family "Bacterial small subunit ribosomal RNA", at positions 394 to 778 of the family's 1533-position model. The record is from RNAcentral. Lineage: Bacteria; Bacillati; Bacillota; Bacilli; Caryophanales; Staphylococcaceae.